CCUACGGGUGGCUGCAGUGGGGAAUAUUGGACAAUGGGCGAAAGCCUGAUCCAGCCAUGCCGCGUGUGUGAAGAAGGCCUUCGGGUUGUAAAGCACUUUCAGUGGGGAAGAAAGCCUUGGGGCUAAUACCCUCGAGGAAGGACAUCACCCACAGAAGAAGCACCGGCUAACUCCGUGCCAGCAGCCGCGGUAAUACGGAGGGUGCGAGCGUUAAUCGGAAUUACUGGGCGUAAAGCGCGCGUAGGCGGUCUGAUAAGCCGGUUGUGAAAGCCCCGGGCUCAACCUGGGAACGGCAUCCGGAACUGUCAGGCUAGAGUGCAGGAGAGGAAGGUAGAAUUCCCGGUGUAGCGGUGAAAUGCGUAGAGAUCGGGAGGAAUACCAGAGGCGAAGGCGGCCUUCUGGACUGACACUGACGCUGAGGUGCGAAAGCGUGGGUAGCAAACAGGAUUAGAUACCCGUGUAGUC
RNAcentral lists this ribosomal RNA (465 nucleotides) under Vreelandella stevensii. RNAcentral describes it as "partial 16S ribosomal RNA". It matches the Rfam family "Bacterial small subunit ribosomal RNA", at positions 338 to 795 of the family's 1533-position model. Lineage: Bacteria; Pseudomonadati; Pseudomonadota; Gammaproteobacteria; Oceanospirillales; Halomonadaceae. The record is from RNAcentral.